GAUGAAGAACGCAUCGAAAUGCGAUAAGUAAUGUGAAUUGCAGAGUUCAGUGAAUCAUCGAAUCUUUGAACGCACAUUGCGCCCGUCAGUAUUCUGACGGGCAUGCCUGUCCGAGCGUCAUUUCAACCCUCAAGCACUGCUUGGCGUUGGCGGAUUGCGUGCCCUCGCGGCGCUGCAACCGCCCAAAUACAGUGGCGGUCCCGCUGCGGCUCCCUUUGCGUAGUAACUCACCUCGCACUGGACCGGGCGGCGGCCUGCCGUAAAACCCCAACUCACGAAAUGUUGACCUCGGAUCAGGUAGGAAUACCCGCUGAACUUAAGCAUAUCAAUAAGCGGAGGA
Molecule: unclassified non-coding RNA, 340 nt
Filed under: soil metagenome
Description: partial contains 5.8S ribosomal RNA, internal transcribed spacer 2, and large subunit ribosomal RNA
Rfam family: 5.8S ribosomal RNA (bases 1-120)
Source: RNAcentral